GUAUGGAUAGCUCAGUCAGUAGAGCAUCAGGCUUUUAACUUGAGGGUCCAGAGUUCACGUCCCUGUUUGUGCC
RNAcentral lists this transfer RNA (73 nucleotides) under Lepisosteus oculatus (spotted gar). It matches the Rfam family "tRNA". From Rfam's summary of the family: Transfer RNA (tRNA) molecules are approximately 80 nucleotides in length. Their secondary structure includes four short double-helical elements and three loops (D, anti-codon, and T loops). The record is from Rfam by way of RNAcentral. Lineage: Eukaryota; Metazoa; Chordata; Actinopteri; Semionotiformes; Lepisosteidae.